AUGGGAGAAUUUGCGGCGGCGGGCGAGGCGGGGAGCCAAGAAGCGGAGCAAGACGAGCAGGGGAUGCUCGCGACGGCGCUGGACGCCAUAAACUCUCUCAUCUCUGCUUCCUUCUCCGCGUCCCUCUUCCCGCUCAAGUGGCAGCUCAUCAGGGACAAGUUCAACCGGCUCCACGCCGGCCUCGCGGACAUCACCGUCAUCGCGGCCUCCGACGGCGAGGAGAGGCACGAGGCGUUCGAUGGCCUCCUACGGGACGUCGUUGACGCGGUGAGGGAGGCGCGGGAGCUGGUGCCGCGGAGCCAGGGGCGGCACUACGGAGGCGGCAAGCUGCGGCUGCGGAGCGACCUCGACGUCGUCGCGUCCACGCUCGACACGCACCUGGCGCGGCUGGACGAGAUAUGCGCCUCGGGCUCGCUCACGCGCGCGCGGGCGCUCGUGGUGCCGCGGCCGUGCGCCGGCGCCAGCCGCGAGGACCUGCGGUUCUACGUGCGCGACCUCUUCGCCAGGCUCAGGGUCGGCGGAGCGGAGAUGCGGAGGGAGGCCGCCGCCGCGCUCAAUGAGGUGCUGCGCGACGACGACAAGUGCGUGCGGGUCGUCGUGUCCGACGUCGCCGACGGAAUUGGCGUUCUCAUUGGGCUGCUCGAGUCCCCAGACGCUCGCGUCCAAGAAGAGGCCCUGGACGCCAUCUCGGUGAUCGCCGGGUAUGACGCUUCUUGCAAAGGCGACCUUGUCGGCGGCGGCGUCAUCGCUCCGGUGAUCCGGGUUCUUAACACGGGCGCCGGGACGGCGGCGAAGGAGCGGGCGGCGCGUGUGCUCAGCAAGCUCACCGAGAACGCCGACAACGCGUGGGCCGUCGCCGCGCACGGCGGCGUCACGGCAUUGAUCAACAUCUGCUCCGAUCACCGUACCAGCGGCGGCGAGCUCGUGUGCGCGGCGUGCCGGGUGCUGAGGAGCCUCGUGGGCGUCGAGGAGAUAAGGAAGUACAUGGUGGCCGACGCCGGGGCGGUACCGGUGCUCGUGUCGCUCUUGCAGGGCCCCGCGGACGAGGGGGCGCAAAUCCAGGCAAUGGAGCUCCUCGCGGCGAUCGCCUCCGGAGAUAGCUCAUCCAGGGAGGUCGUGCUCCAAGAAGGCACCGCCGAGUCCCUCGUCCGCGCGCUGGACCCGGGCAUCCCGCGCUCUUCAAAGGCACGGGAGGUGGCGCUCCGCGCCAUCGACGCGCUCUGCUUCUCGUUGCCAGACUCGAUCGACCGGCUCAUCGGCGCCGUCUUCCUCAACCGGGUGCUCUUCUUCCUCCGCAACGGCGACACCACGCUGCAGCACAGCGCCUUAAAAGCAGCGCACCGGCUGUGCCACGUGUCGGAGGAGACCAAGAAGGCGAUGGGGGACGCCGGGUUCAUGCCGGAGCUGGUGGGCAUCGUCCAGGCGGCCAAAUCCAUCGAGGCGAGGGAGUUGGCCGCGGAGGCGCUCUGCGCCAUGAUGUCCGUGCACCGCAACCGGAAGCGCUUCGUCCAGGAUGACCGCAACGUGGCGCAGGUACUGCAGCUGCUAGGCCCCGACGAGGAGAAACCCUCGCCGGCGAAGCGGUUCUUGCUGUCGACACUGGUGCAUCUGGCGGACAGCAACUCCGGCCGGAGGAAGAUCAUGUCAUCGGAGCACGUGAGGAACCUCGAGAAGCUUGCAGAGACCAACGUGACAGACGCUAAGAAGAUCGUGAAGAAGCUUGGCGGGAGCAAGCUGAGGAACAUGUUCCAUGGCAUUUGGAGCCUGUGA
Molecule: ribosomal RNA, 1770 nt
Filed under: Triticum aestivum (bread wheat)
Lineage: Eukaryota; Viridiplantae; Streptophyta; Magnoliopsida; Poales; Poaceae
Description: partial small subunit ribosomal RNA
Source: RNAcentral